UGUCCCCCGGAGGCGUCUGGGUGUGCGGAGCGCGCGCGCGCGCGGCUCGGAGGCGCACCUGUGAGGUGUCCCUGAGGAGAGGGAGGGCGCCCUGCGUCCGGCAGAGGAGGCGAGCAUCCCCGCUCAGGUGAUGAGGAACCCCUCGCGCACCCAGCGCAGAAGGCUGCUGCCGCCGGACGCCUCCAUUGUUUGACCACAACAAGGGCCGGAUUCUCACCCAGGUAAACUGGCUGCCGGCGCUGUCCACCUCCCUCUGACUCCCGCCUCCGCAGGCGUUCUCACCCCUUCCAGGACUCGACUGCAGUUUUCUCACUGUCCCCGGCUUCUCAUGAACUCCGUAUACCCCCCUCCCAGACAUUUUCCCGUCCGGAUCCAUCUCUCCGCCACAUCACCUCUCAUUUCCCCCAGAACUCAGCUCCUUUGUGAAACCUUUCUUGCCGAACUCUAACAACUAAAUCUCCCCGGGAGCCUGCUCCGAACUGAACUGUUCUGGUUGCUAGAUUGCUUACGGGCUGUCUUAUUGCAACAAAGGAGACCAGAUACCGAAAAAAGAUUUCUGAGCUAUUGCCUUCUUCAAGGAACGUUUUCUGAUAUUUACAGUUUAUUGUUUUCACAAGAUGGAACGGUUUUUAGGCAUUUUGGCUUCUUAUUUAGAGAGGGCUCCUAUUUCCUUCAUAGACGCAUAGUUUUUUAGAGCAGGAAAUCGACCUUGUUCAACCCGCAGGUUAAUUAAAAAUUUAAAAAUUAAUUCUAAA
RNAcentral lists this small RNA (755 nucleotides) under Pan troglodytes (chimpanzee). RNAcentral's name for it is "retained intron". Lineage: Eukaryota; Metazoa; Chordata; Mammalia; Primates; Hominidae. The record is from RNAcentral.